This 211-nucleotide long non-coding RNA is filed under the name Elaeis guineensis (African oil palm). RNAcentral's name for it is "long non-coding RNA (EGUI_LNC025692)". Lineage: Eukaryota; Viridiplantae; Streptophyta; Magnoliopsida; Arecales; Arecaceae. The record is from RNAcentral.
GGUCGGUUGGGUUGGUGGUUGAAAAUAGGUGUGUGGUUGAGAUCUUGAGCCCGCAUCUGGUGUGGUUUCACCAAGUUACUUUAGACCCUCAUCAUGGGAAUGGUUGAUCCAGUCGAUGGGUCACUUCUACAAUACUUGUCCCCCAUUUCUAAGUUCGAAGUGCUCUUUUAAGUUUAGAUGAAAGAAGUGAUUAUCUUAAUAGUCGAACUGC